RNAcentral lists this ribosomal RNA (356 nucleotides) under Camponotus christi foersteri. RNAcentral describes it as "partial 12S ribosomal RNA". Lineage: Eukaryota; Metazoa; Arthropoda; Insecta; Hymenoptera; Formicidae. The record is from RNAcentral.
UUUAAACUAGGGAUUGAUACCCUAUUAUUUUUWUUAARUUAAAUUUUAAUUAUUUAUUAAAUGUAAAGCMUUWAAAAUWAAAAAUUUGGCGGUACUUAAUAUUUAGAGGAACUUGUUUGUUAAAUUGAUWGUCCMCGAAUGGAAGAACUUAAUUUGAUAAUUUUAUGUAUUGUUGUUGAAAAAUUGUAUUAAGAGAUAAAAAUUAAAAAAUUUAAUUUAAUUAUAAUUCAAAUCAAAAUGUAGAAUAAUUAAGAAUUUAAAUGAGUUACGAAUUAAAUAAAUCAAUUGAAUUUUAUAAUUUAAUUUAUAAAUGAGAAAUGGAUUUAAGAGUAAAUUAUAAAAAAUAUAUGAAUGGA